Molecule: transfer RNA, 74 nt
Filed under: Candidatus Babeliales bacterium
Lineage: Bacteria; Candidatus Babeliae; Candidatus Babeliales
Description: tRNA-Glu
Rfam family: tRNA
About the family: Transfer RNA (tRNA) molecules are approximately 80 nucleotides in length. Their secondary structure includes four short double-helical elements and three loops (D, anti-codon, and T loops).
Source: RNAcentral
GUCCCUAUCGUCUAGCCCGGUCUAGGACACCACCCUUUCACGGUGAAAACAUGGGUUCAAAUCCCAUUAGGGAC